UUCUUCUGCAAAGUUGUAGAGAAUUGAAUUUCCAAUAAAAAUUCGCAAGAUUCGAAUUUUCUGAUGAAAGAGCUAUUUAUUAUGAAUUAUUGAAGUUCCGUAGUUCCAAAAUAAUUGAUUUUUGGAAGUUUUAAAUAUUUAUAAUUACAAAAACGUUUUUGGUCAUAUAAUUGGGUCUUGCAUGUGAUGUAAAUGGCUGAUUUCAGAUCUAAGAGUGGGC
This 220-nucleotide long non-coding RNA is filed under the name Panax ginseng (ginseng). RNAcentral's name for it is "long non-coding RNA (PGIN_LNC007295)". The record is from RNAcentral. Lineage: Eukaryota; Viridiplantae; Streptophyta; Magnoliopsida; Apiales; Araliaceae.